CACCCCAGGUGGGACUCGAACCCACAAUCCCUGGCUUAGGAGGCCAGUGCCUUAUCCAUUAGGCCACUGGGGCUUCAAGAAGCAUGUGAUCGGCCGCCAUUUGCGUGAAGCCCCAGUGGCCUAAUGGAUAAGGCACUGGCCUCCUAAGCCAGGGAUUGUGGGUUCGAGUCCCAUCUGGGGUGAAUUAACAAUUUCAGCAAGGGUCACCCCGAAUUAUUCCUGCGCCCUCUACUCCAAACCGGCCGCCACGGUUUAUGGAUGCUGCUUGAAGCUAUUGCUGGCUCCCAAGCCCUGCCACGUGGCUGCGGCGCCCUGGCCCUAGCCUGCCCUGCUGGACCCACUGCUGCUUUUCUGGGUUUCCGACUUCAGUUUUCCCUAAAGCCAUCCUCCAGGCCUUGCCUCCGUGAAGCUUACAUUGUAGUGAGAGAGAAGACAGUAAAGAACUAAAUGAACAAACGAGAUGAUUUCAAAAUAAAGAGAGCCAUGGGAAACUGUUAGUUGAGUAGCGAGAGAAAGCCUCUGGGUGGAGAACAGCAGAAGGAUCACUAGCAAUGCUGUCACCUUCAGAGGACUUCUUUACUGUCUUGGCUGAUACACUACCUACCUCAUAGGGUUCUUGUGAGGAGUAAAGGAGGUGAUAUUUCUGUGAACUGAUUAGAACAAUUCCUGGAAGCUCGUAUGUGCUCUAUAAGAUCAGGCAUGGUCGUCCUCACUUACCAAUAGACUAGUUUGCCCCCUUAUUCAAGGAUUGUGUGAUACUCUCCACACUAGGUGUGAACCCCUAACUGAAGGCUCAAAUUUCAUCUUAGAUUUCUUCUCUUUCAUUCAUAGUGAAUUCAUAUUAAGGUUCUUCUAAAUGCCAAGCACAGUGCUAAGCCCAGGGAAUAUGCAUAUGUCUAAGGCGUAGUGCUGGCGCUCAACAAAGAAUCUUUUAAAAUCUUCUAGAUCUCCCUAAUCUUCUGGCGUUAGAGCAGGAACAGCAAAUGCCUGAUGGUAAGGGUGGAGUGGGAGGUGCAGUUAGCAGGAUGCUGUGGCUGUAACGGGGGAAGGAGCACAGCGUACCAAGAGAGAACCCCGGAGUAAGAGGCUGCAUUUGAGCUUGUGUGCAGCGGGAAUCCAGGGGAGGGCUUUAAGCAGAGGAGUAAAAUGACCAUAUUUGCAUUUUGAAAAGAUCCCCUUGGCAACAAUGUAAAGAAUGGACUGGAGGUGGGUGAGAGUACAGGCAGGGGACCACUUAGGGAGAGAUGGGUGGCUCAGGGAGGAGAUUACCAAAGCCUGAACAGAAGCAAUAGCAGGACCCCAAGAGGAAGAAAGUAAAGAUGUUCAGGAAAUGGAAUCUGUGGGACGUGCAGCCCAAGAUGGUGCCCAGGAUUUGGGGGGAUGGUGGUGCCACACACCCUGGGGAAGAACAUGAGCUCAGGGUUGAUCCAAGUGCCUGGUUUAUUUUUCCCCACAAUCUAUCCUUUUUUUCAUCAUAGUUUCUAGUUUCUCCUUUGGUGUUAUGCCUAGAAAAACUCUCACUUGAAGAUUAUGUAAAUAUUUACCUACAGUUUUUCCUGUUGUUUCUUGUGGGAUUUUUAAAAAUAUUUAAAUCUGUAACUGGAAUUUAUUUUGAUUUUUAGUGUAGAGUAGGAUCUGUUCUUAUUGCUUUACAAAUAUUUAAACACUUAGAUCAGUGCCUUUCCCCAGUGAUACAAAAUGCUACUUAGAUACAGGUUAUGGACUUUUUCUGAAGGUUCUUUUCUGUUCCGUUGAUCUAAUUAUUUUUAGCUUUUUAUGCAACUUAACUGUGAGUACUAAUUUAUAACCCAAUUAAUUUUUAAAUAUUUUUCACUUUUUUUCUUAUCUCUAUCCUGAUUUUUCUGUAAUCAAAAUGUAUUGUGUAAUCAAAGUUUUUAUAUCACGCAACUCAAUGCUAUGAAUGUUUUAAUAUGAAAUGUUCAUAUUAUUUUUAUCUUCCAAGCAGUCUGUAAUUACAUACUUUAUUGCUCAUUGAUUCAAGAUUUAGGAGAGUGUGUUUCAAUUUCCAAGUGGCUGCAUUUUUGUAUGGUUUUGUGUUAUUGUAGUUUAUACUUUGAGUAUUAAUUGUUGGUUUUAUGUAAUAUUUGCUCUGGGAUUAGUUGAUGUGUGCUAUAGUUUCUUAUUCUUUUUUUUUUUUUUUACUUUGAAGCUUUCUUUAUAGUCUAAUAUGUUGUCAGUUUCCAGUUAUUCUGUUCGUAUGACUUAGAACUUACUACAUAAGCUAUUAAAUUAGCCUUUUUAUUACAGUCUGCUAUAGUCUCAUUUGUUUUGCAAACAUCAGAAUUUUUACAACUGCUAUGUUUCUUUUUUCUUUGUCUUUUUUUUGGUGAGUGAGAUUGGCCUUGAGCUAACAUCUGUGCCAGUCUUCCUC
This is a long non-coding RNA of Equus asinus (donkey), 2392 nucleotides long. Lineage: Eukaryota; Metazoa; Chordata; Mammalia; Perissodactyla; Equidae. The record is from Ensembl.